GCACAAUGUGAGUCACCAGCAAGGAGGGACACCAAUAAGACGUCCGAUAAGAAAGAGAUUGGAAAUAACUGUUUCUUGAAGUUCCUAAUGGAGAGAAGGCAUUCUCCCCCAGACCCAAACUCAGCUAAUCAUGGGUAAACCUCUCUAUAUUCAACAAAUUCUAUGAAAUGAAUGGAAAGCAUUUCUCAAUAUUUGCACUAUCAUGAAAAAUAGGAGAAAAUAUCACUGUCCAAAGUAGGUUGAGGAUGCAUUACAAUUAAAUGUGAUGUACUGUUCCAACUCCACAGAACUGGAGGUUCAAGAGGCAAGGAAG
This 313-nucleotide long non-coding RNA is filed under the name Cricetulus griseus (Chinese hamster). Its description in RNAcentral is "lncRNA (ENSCGRG00000024631.1)". Lineage: Eukaryota; Metazoa; Chordata; Mammalia; Rodentia; Cricetidae. The record is from RNAcentral.